This 515-nucleotide ribosomal RNA is filed under the name uncultured bacterium. RNAcentral's name for it is "bacterial SSU rRNA". It matches the Rfam family "Bacterial small subunit ribosomal RNA", at positions 28 to 573 of the family's 1533-position model. The record is from RNAcentral.
AAUGAACGUUGGCGGCGUGGAUUAGGCAUGCAAGUCGCGCGACAAGGUCCGCAAGGACUGGAGGAGCGGCAAACGGGGUAGUAAGGCAUCGGAACGUACCCUCUAGUCGGGGAUAGCGGCGGGAAACUGCCGGUAAUACCCGAUGAUCUCUUCGGAGCAAAGGUCUGCCGCUGGAGGAGCGGCCGAUGUGGUAUCAGGUAGUUGGUAGGGUAAUGGCCUACCAAGCCUUACACGCCUAGGGGGUGUGAGAGCACCACCCCCACCACUGGGACUGAGAUACUGCCCAGACACCUACGGGUGGCUGCAGUCAAGAAUCUUCGGCAAUGGGCGCAAGCCUGACCGAGCGACGCCGCGUGCGGGAUGAACGCCCUUGGGUUGUAAACCGCUGUCAGGGGGGAGCAAGGCGCAAGCUUGAGCGAGCCCCAGAGGAAGCACGGGCUAAGUUCGUGCCAGCAGCCGCGGUAAUACGAACUGUGCGAACGUUAUUCAGAAUCACUGGGCUUACAGGGUGCGUA